RNAcentral lists this ribosomal RNA (468 nucleotides) under uncultured bacterium. Its description in RNAcentral is "partial 16S ribosomal RNA". It matches the Rfam family "Bacterial small subunit ribosomal RNA", at positions 28 to 507 of the family's 1533-position model. The record is from RNAcentral.
GACGAACGCUGGCGGCGUGCUUAACACAUGCAAGUCGAACGGAAAGGCCCUGCUUUUGUGGGGUGCUCGAGUGGCGAACGGGUGAGUAACACGUGAGUAACCUGCCCUUGACUUUGGGAUAACUUCAGGAAACUGGGGCUAAUACCGGAUAGGAGCUCCUGCUGCAUGGUGGGGGUUGGAAAGUUUCGGCGGUUGGGGAUGGACUCGCGGCUUAUCAGCUUGUUGGUGGGGUAGUGGCUUACCAAGGCUUUGACGGGUAGCCGGCCUGAGAGGGUGACCGGCCACAUUGGGACUGCGAUACGGCCCAGACUCCUACGGGAGGCAGCAGUGGGGAAUAUUGCACAAUGGGCGGAAGCCUUAUGCAGCAACGCCGCGUGCGGGAUGACGGCCUUCGGGUUGUAAACCGCUUUCGCCUGUGACGAAGCGUGAGUGACGGUAAUGGGUAAAGAAGCACCGGCUAACUACGUG